UACGUAGGGUGCAAGCGUUAAUCGGAAUUACUGGGCGUAAAGCGUGUGUAGGCGGUUCGGAAAGAAAGAUGUGAAAUCCCAGGGCUCAACCUUGGAACUGCAUUUUUAACUGCCGAGCUAGAGUAUGUCAGAGGGGGGUAGAAUUCCACGUGUAGCAGUGAAAUGCGUAGAUAUGUGGAGGAAUACCGAUGGCGAAGGCAGCCCCCUGGGAUAAUACUGACGCUCAGACACGAAAGCGUGGGGAGCAAACAGG
Molecule: non-coding RNA, 253 nt
Filed under: uncultured bacterium
Lineage: Bacteria
Also listed under: 3 other names
Description: partial 16S ribosomal RNA
Rfam family: Bacterial small subunit ribosomal RNA
Source: RNAcentral